RNAcentral lists this ribosomal RNA (1264 nucleotides) under metagenome. RNAcentral describes it as "bacterial LSU rRNA". It matches the Rfam family "Bacterial large subunit ribosomal RNA", at positions 1639 to 2912 of the family's 2925-position model. The record is from RNAcentral.
UGCCUGUACCAUAACCGACACAGGUGGGUAAGUAGAGUAUACUAAGGGGCGCGAGAUAACUCUCUCUAAGGAACUCGGCAAAAUAACUCCGUAACUUCGGGAGAAGGAGUGCCUUAUUCUUAAGGUUGCAAUAACAAGAUCCAAGCAACUGUUUAUCAAAAACACAGGUCUCCGCUAAGUCGUAAGACGAUGUAUGGGGGCUGACGCCUGCCCAGUGCCAGAAGGUUAAAGAAGUCGGUUAGCAAUAGCAAAGCUGGUAACUGAAGCCCUGGUGAACGGCGGCCGUAACAAUAACGGUCCUAAGGUAGCGAAAUUCCUUGUCGGGUAAGUUCCGACCCGCACGAAAGGCGUAAUGAUUUGGAUGCUGUCUCGGAGAGGGGCUCGGUGAAAUAGACUUGUCUGUGAAGAUGCGGACUACCUGCACCAGGACAGAAAGACCCUAUGAAGCUUUACUGUAACUUGAAAUUGAAAUUGGACUUUAUUCGCGCAGUAUAGGUGGGAGGCGUUGAUUAUAAUCUUGUGGGAUUAUUGGAGCCAUCAGUGAGAUACCACUCUUGUAAUGUUAGAUUUCUAACUUUGAAUCAUUAUCUGGUCAAAGGACAGUUCCAGGCGGGCAGUUUGACUGGGGCGGUCGCCUCCUAAACGGUAACGGAGGCGUACAAAGGUUUCCUCUGAACGGUUAGAAAUCGUAUCUAGAGUGUAAAGGCAUAAGGAAGCUUGACUGUGAGACCUACAAGUCGAGCAGGGACGAAAGUCGGUCUUAGUGAUCUGACGGUACUGAGUGGAAAGGCCAUCACUCAACGGAUAAAAGUUACUCUAGGAUAACAGGCUGAUCUCCCCCAAGAGUUCACAUCGACGGGGAGGUUUGGCACCUCGAUGUCGGCUCAUCGCAUCCUGGGGCGGUAGUACGUCCCAAGGGUUGGGCUGUUCGCCCAUGAAAGCGGUACGCGAGCUGGGUUCAGAACGUCGUGAGACAGUUCGGUCCAUAUCCGGUGUAGGCGCUAGAAUAUUGAGAGGAGCCUUCUUUAGUACGAGAGGACCGAGAAGGACAUACCUCUGGUGUACCAGUUAUCGUGCCAACGGUAAACGCUGGGUAGCUAUGUAUGGAGUGGAUAACCGCUGAAAGCAUCUAAGUGGGAAGCCCACCUCAAGAUAAGUAUUCUCAUCACGUAAGUGAGUAAGGUCACGGUAAGACUAACCGUUUGAUAGGCAUUAAGUGUAAGUACAGUAAUGUAUGUGCUGAGAUGUCCUAAUAGACCGAGGA